Small nuclear RNA from Saimiri boliviensis boliviensis (Bolivian squirrel monkey), 104 nucleotides. Lineage: Eukaryota; Metazoa; Chordata; Mammalia; Primates; Cebidae. The record is from Ensembl.
GUGCUUGCUUCAGCUGCACAUAUAUUAAAAUGGGAAAAAUACAGAGAUUAGCAUGGCCCCUUCACAAGGAUGACAUGCAAACUUAUGAAGUGUCCCAUAUUUGG